Molecule: small nuclear RNA, 54 nt
Filed under: Tupaia belangeri chinensis (Chinese tree shrew)
Lineage: Eukaryota; Metazoa; Chordata; Mammalia; Scandentia; Tupaiidae
Description: Tupaia chinensis (Chinese tree shrew) U7 small nuclear RNA
Rfam family: U7 small nuclear RNA (bases 11-54)
About the family: Animal histone pre-mRNAs are spliced by a different mechanism than nuclear pre-mRNAs and self-splicing introns. This processing involves the U7 snRNP, which contains only one RNA species: U7.
Source: Rfam by way of RNAcentral
AAAAGAAAAAAGAAUUUGUCUAGCAGGUUUUCUGGGUUUUACCGGAAAGCUCCC